GUACACUCCUACGGGAGGCAGCAGUGGGGAAUUUUGGACAAUGGGCGAAAGCCUGAUCCAGCAAUGCCGCGUGAGUGAAGAAGGCCUUCGGGUUGUAAAGCUCUUUUGUCAGGGAAGAAACGGUGAGAGCUAAUAUCUCUUGCUAAUGACGGUACCUGAAGAAUAAGCACCGGCUAACUACGUGCCAGCAGCCGCGGUAAUACGUAGGGUGCAAGCGUUAAUCGGAAUUACUGGGCGUAAAGCGUGCGCAGGCGGUUUUGUAAGUCUGAUGUGAAAUCCCCGGGCUCAACCUGGGAAUUGCAUUGGAGACUGCAAGGCUAGAAUCUGGCAGAGGGGGGUAGAAUUCCACGUGUAGCAGUGAAAUGCGUAGAUAUGUGGAGGAACACCGAUGGCGAAGGCAGCCCCCUGGGUCAAGAUUGACGCUCAUGCACGAAAGCGUGGGGAGCAAACAGGAUUAGAAACCCUGGUAGUCC
This 473-nucleotide ribosomal RNA is filed under the name uncultured organism. Its description in RNAcentral is "partial 16S ribosomal RNA". It matches the Rfam family "Bacterial small subunit ribosomal RNA", at positions 331 to 796 of the family's 1533-position model. The record is from RNAcentral.